RNAcentral lists this ribosomal RNA (460 nucleotides) under uncultured bacterium. Its description in RNAcentral is "partial 16S ribosomal RNA". It matches the Rfam family "Bacterial small subunit ribosomal RNA", at positions 338 to 795 of the family's 1533-position model. The record is from RNAcentral.
CCUACGGGAGGCAGCAGUGAGGAAUAUUGGUCAAUGGGCGCGAGCCUGAACCAGCCAAGUAGCGUGAAGGAUGACUGCCCUACGGGUUGUAAACUUCUUUUAUAAAGGAAUAAAGUGAGGCACGAGUGCCUUUUUGUAUGUACUUUAUGAAUAAGGAUCGGCUAACUCCGUGCCAGCAGCCGCGGUAAUACGGAGGAUCCGAGCGUUGUCCGGUAUUAGUGGGUGUAAAGGGAGCGUCGAUGGGUUGUUAAGUCAGUUGUGAAAGUGUGCGGCUCAACCGUAACAUUGCUAUUGAUACUGGCAGUCUUGAGUACAUUUGAGGUAGGCGGAAUUCGUGGUGUAGCGGUGAAAUGCUUAGAUAUCACGAAGAACUCCGAUUGCGAAGGCAGCUUACUGAACUGCCACUGACAUUGAGGCUCGAAAGUGUGGGUAUCAAACAGGAUUAGAUACCCUAGUAGUC